GACAGAGGGUGCAAACGUUGUUCGGAAUUACUGGGCGUAAAGCGCACGUAGGCGGAUACUUAAGUUAGGGGUGAAAUCCCAGAGCUCAACUCUGGAACUGCCUUUAAUACUGGGUAUCUCGAGUCCGAGAGAGGUGAGUGGAAUUCCGAGUGUAGAGGUGAAAUUCGUAGAUAUUCGGAGGAACACCAGUGGCGAAGGCGGCUCACUGGCUCGGUACUGACGCUGAGGUGCGAAAGCGUGGGGAGCAAACAGG
RNAcentral lists this ribosomal RNA (253 nucleotides) under uncultured bacterium. RNAcentral describes it as "partial 16S ribosomal RNA". It matches the Rfam family "Bacterial small subunit ribosomal RNA", at positions 524 to 776 of the family's 1533-position model. The record is from RNAcentral.